Small nucleolar RNA from Zingiber officinale, 106 nucleotides. Lineage: Eukaryota; Viridiplantae; Streptophyta; Magnoliopsida; Zingiberales; Zingiberaceae. The record is from RefSeq and is a predicted model, not a curated record.
AGGCCAUGAUGGGGGCACUAUCUCUGCAUACAUUUAAAUCUGUCCCAGGCUUCAAAUAAUGAUUCUAAGUCUACCUGUUUGAAGCUUGCAAUCAGAUUUCUCAUAU